Molecule: ribosomal RNA, 254 nt
Filed under: uncultured bacterium
Lineage: Bacteria
Description: partial 16S ribosomal RNA
Rfam family: Bacterial small subunit ribosomal RNA
Source: RNAcentral
UACGGAGGGGGCUAGCGUUGCUCGGAAUCACUGGGCGUAAAGGGUGCGUAGGCGGGUUUUUAAGUCAGAGGUGAAAUCCUGGAGCUCAACUCCAGAACUGCCUCUGAUACUGGGGAUCUUGAGUCCGGAAGAGGUAAGUGGAACUGCGAGUGUAGAGGUGAAAUUCGUAGAUAUUCGCAAGAACACCAGUGGCGAAGGCGGCUUACUGGUCCGGUACUGACGCUGAGGUGCGAAAGCGUGGGGAGCAAACAGGG